UUGGAGGGCAAGUCUGGUGCCAGCAGCCGCGGUAAUUCCAGCUCCAAUAGCGUAUAUUAAAGUUGUUGCAGUUAAAAAGCUCGUAGUUGAAUUUCGGGAUCAAUACGUCGGUCGUGCUUUCGGGUAUGUACUGGCGUCAUUGGUUUCUCCUUUCUGACGAACCAUGAUGUCAUUAAUUUGGUGUUAUGGGGAGUUAGGACUGUUACUUUGAAAAAAUUAGAGUGUUUAAAGCAGGCAUUAGCUUGAAUACAUUAGCAUGGAAUAAUGAAAUAGGACGUUCGAUCCUAUUUUGUUGGUUUCUAGGAUCAACGUAAUGAUUAAUAGGGAUAGUUGGGGGCAUUAGUAUUCAAUUGUCAGAGGUGAAAUUCUUGGAUUUAUUGAAGACUAACUACUGCGAAAGCAUUUGCCAAGGAUGUUUUCAUUAAUCAAGAACGAAAGUUAGGGGAUCGAAGACGACCAGAUACCGUCGUAGUCUUAACCACAAACUAUGCCGACUAGGGAUCGGAUGAUGUUAAUUUUUUAAUGACUCAUUCGGCGCCUUACGGGAAAC
RNAcentral lists this ribosomal RNA (550 nucleotides) under uncultured Glomeromycotina. Its description in RNAcentral is "SSU rRNA". It matches the Rfam family "Eukaryotic small subunit ribosomal RNA", at positions 548 to 1098 of the family's 1831-position model. The record is from RNAcentral. Lineage: Eukaryota; Fungi; Glomeromycota.